Molecule: non-coding RNA, 30 nt
Filed under: Homo sapiens (human)
Lineage: Eukaryota; Metazoa; Chordata; Mammalia; Primates; Hominidae
Source: RNAcentral
UGUUGUCAUCCCUGAUGCUCAAACCUCACA